Molecule: unclassified non-coding RNA, 221 nt
Filed under: uncultured Flavobacteriaceae bacterium
Lineage: Bacteria; Pseudomonadati; Bacteroidota; Flavobacteriia; Flavobacteriales; Flavobacteriaceae
Description: contains 16S-23S intergenic spacer region
Rfam family: Bacterial small subunit ribosomal RNA
Source: RNAcentral
AAGGCUUAAAUGUAGAUUGACCGGUUUGGAAACAGAUCUUUCGCAAGACAAUUUACAAGGUGCUGCAUGGUUGUCGUCAGCUCGUGCCGUGAGGUGUCAGGUUAAGUCCUAUAACGAGCGCAACCCCUGUUGUUAGUUGCCAGCGAGUCAUGUCGGGAACUCUAACAAGACUGCCAGUGCAAACUGUGAGGAAGGUGGGGAUGACGUCGCGGCAUUAGCCA